AUUGAACGCUGGCGGCGUGCCUAACACAUGCAAGUCGAGCGGUAACAGGUGUAGCAAUACAUGCUGACGAGCGGCGGACGGGUGAGUAACGCUUGGGAAUCUGCCUGUUAGUGGGGGACAACCCGGGGAAACUCGGGCUAAUACCGCAUACGCACUACGGUGGAAAGCCGGGGACCGCAAGGCCUGGCGCUAACAGAUGAGCCCAAGUCGGAUUAGCUAGUUGGUAGGGUAACGGCCACCAAGGCGACGAUCCGUAACUGGUCUGAGAGGACGACCAGUCACACCGGAACUGAGACACGGUCCGGACUCCUACGGGAGGCAGCAGUGGGGAAUAUUGGACAAUGGGCGAAAGCCUGAUCCAGCGACGCCGCGUGGGUGAAGAAGGCCUGCGGGUUGUAAAGCCC
Molecule: ribosomal RNA, 404 nt
Filed under: uncultured bacterium
Lineage: Bacteria
Description: bacterial SSU rRNA
Rfam family: Bacterial small subunit ribosomal RNA
Source: RNAcentral